UAGGGAAUCUUCGGCAAUGGACGAAAGUCUGACCGAGCAACGCCGCGUGAGUGAAGAAGGUUUUCGGAUCGUAAAACUCUGUUGGUAGAGAAGAAUGACAUUGAGGGUAACUGUUCAAUGUGUGACGGUAUCUUACCAGAAAGGAACGGCUAAAUACGUGUCAG
RNAcentral lists this ribosomal RNA (164 nucleotides) under uncultured bacterium. RNAcentral's name for it is "partial 16S rRNA". It matches the Rfam family "Bacterial small subunit ribosomal RNA", at positions 355 to 511 of the family's 1533-position model. The record is from RNAcentral.